RNAcentral lists this long non-coding RNA (1292 nucleotides) under Equus caballus (horse). RNAcentral describes it as "lncRNA (ENSECAG00000058075.1)". Lineage: Eukaryota; Metazoa; Chordata; Mammalia; Perissodactyla; Equidae. The record is from RNAcentral.
GCCCAGGGGAAGGCAGCACUGAGUGGUGUGGUGUGCAUUUUGAGGUCAAGAUGGCUGACAUGUUCUUGCAACCACUCAGCGGAGCAGGAGCAUGUUACUAAUGGAAGCGAGAUCAUUCAGCCUCACUGUGAGGCAAAGGCACAGUGACCGACAGGGUUGAGCACCGGGUCAACACUGAAGGCUGUGGGCACUGCUGAGACAGUACACUUCUUGGCAGACCAUAAACCUCUGACUUUCAUUUUUCCUACUUGCACAUGGAAGAGAACUUUAGUUACGCCAAUCUCCCUGAGCUGCACAGUAGUGCCUAAGUGUCCAGAAGCUGAUUUGUGUGGACAACGUCAGCCAGGCUCCCUUGCCCUCUGCAUUCCAGCGGAGUUCAGCCAACAGCAGUUUGGGGUAUUUAUUCCUGGGGCUCCCUCCUGGUGGGAACAAAUCCCUGCCUCCCUGUUCCACAGUGCAGACAGACAGAUAUGCCACGUGCAGUCGAUGGGGAUAAAGAGGUCCACUGAAGAUGACUCGAAUGGACCAACCACAAGGGCAGAGGCUUGCCUGAGCUGUUCACUGCUGCGUUCCCAGCACCGGGAAUAGUGAAACAGACGUGAAAUGCUUUUCAGUGAAUGAAUAAAUGACGGAAAUAUUUUAUUUUAAGCUUCUACAUGGUACAUUCAUUGAAAUAAAGCUCUCCAGCUCCGGGCUUCUGUGCGUCGGGAGUGCGGUGGCGGUGAAUUGUUCGUGUUCUCCUUCACUAAGCCUGCAACAGUUGCCUUGCCUCUCCCUCGAACUGAGAUGGGCCGAAGUCAGAGUGUAGCAGCUACAGCAGCAGCCAACAGCCAUAGACACAAGAAGACAAAACUGACGGGAAGGAGGAAGAAUUGUCUCCAUUGUUCCAGAAUGGCAUGCUUUGGUUCACAAGAAUCAUAAGAAGAAGUCAUGUGCAAGACUUCUAGGGAAAAUGGACAUUCCUCCUUGGACAUCAAGGAAAGUUACCCCUUGCCUGGCCUGGGAAAAGCAGAGGCAGGUCAGAGAAGUGGACAUUUAAGUGGAUGUGAUUUGGACCAGCACUGGCUGGCACCUUAAUUACAGCCCUGUGAGAAACCCUGAAGCAGAGAACUCAGAGGAAGGAACUUAAUUUAUCCAAGGCCAAGUGACCAGUAUGUAGCAGAGCAGAUACCAGAGCCCGGGGCUGUCUGACACAAAGCCUUUAUACUUUGUUUCACGACAUGCUGCUUACCACUGUGGCCUCAUUGCUGUGAUCAGGUAUACAGAGGAGGAAGAAUUUAUAAUAGCAAGAG